UCAAAAAAUUACUAUUUACUUAAGUUUUAAGUUUUUGUUCUUUCGAAUACAUUAAUUUAUUGUUUUUGUGGUUUUGGUUUAAUUGGCCAAUUAUACUCAGUUAACACGAAAUAUAUAUUUAACCUGGUUUAAGAUCAUCUUUAUAAUUUGAUCUUUAUCACAAAAACCCUAGAUUUCUUUUUGGCAAUAAAUAUUGAAUGCCCUUGUUAAUGUCUCUUAUUAAAGAUGGUUUUUUUCUCCAAAACUCUUUGGCAAAACACUCGAAUUAUGAUGAAAAUUGAAAAAGAAAUAUUUCUAACCAAUGUUAGUGAUUUAUUUAAAUAUACUUAAUUAUUCGUGUAAAAGAAUUUAUUAAAAUAACCUAAAUAUUAACAAAUUAAUUAUGGGAUUAUGGUUUUUAUUUUGUAAUAAUGUGAAUAAAGAAAAUUAUUUCCAGACUUUAGACUGAAACUAUAGUUUAGAUUACAGCUCAAAUUGUAGCCUUAAAAUGAAACACUAUAUUCUCGACUAUAUGUAGUUUAAUGGGUUAUUAAUGGAUAACAAUAAAAUUUCAGUUGAGUUGCCAGCAAUCAAUGCAUCUGAUAUAGAACGUGGUAUUAAUGAUGGCAAUUGCCGUUAGUUUGCAAAAAGUUAUCAAUAUUUUGUCAUCUGUAGUUAUUUUGACACAUAAUAGAAAUGCAAACAAAGAAAACAAGUGUAUUAAAUUUGAUAUUAAUGUUAAAUUUUGUGAAAAAAAGAAUAUAAAAUAAAUUCUAAAGUGAAAUAUGUACACACAUACGCAUCCAUUCGAAUUGAAUAAUUGUGUUAACCACGUUUACAACUAGCGAUGGAAAUAACAACCCUUUCUUAAUACAAUCGGUUCUUCGCAACGAAACGACGCGGAGUUUAACGAUCAACAUUCCAGGAUUAUCGAAACCAGCCACAACAACUUUACAUGCUCCAUGUAUAAAGUAAAGAACUAGCGGCCACAAUCGAAUUCGAUUUGGAAAAUAAUGUUAACCACGCUAACAGCAAGCGUUGGAAAUAACAACCCACGUUCUUAAGACAAUCGGUUCUUCACACCGAAACGACGCGGAGUUCAACAUUCAAGAAUUGUAAAACUAAGUCACAUCGACUUUACACGAUGGUUAUAUGUAUAAAGAAAAAAAUUAUCGGCCCAAAUCAAACUAUUAUAAUAACUAAACCAUUUCAAUUUGUGGUGCUGCAGCUAUAGUCCUCUAACUACAAUAAAAAAUUUCUGGUUGCAAAUUUAUCAACUGAAUUUUGCAGCUGUCGAUGGACACUUGCGGCAACUAAUAAGCAAUCUUUUGAAGAUACCUAAGUAGAUGUCAAAAAUAAACGUAUAGAUGUUGGUUAGAGUAAUGUAUAAUGAUGAAAGUAAAACUUAAAUAAAAACAAAUUUCCGUAAUUAACAAAAACCACUGAGCGUCUAAAAAAUACUGUAAAUAUUUAUACUAAAAAAAUAAAUACGCUAAAAUGCCAAAAACCCAAAUUAAAAA
Long non-coding RNA from Lucilia cuprina (Australian sheep blowfly), 1499 nucleotides. RefSeq lists it as uncharacterized. NCBI's taxonomy places the organism in Eukaryota, Metazoa, Arthropoda, Insecta, Diptera, Calliphoridae. The transcript is spliced from 2 exons. The record is from RefSeq and is a predicted model, not a curated record.